Molecule: ribosomal RNA, 492 nt
Filed under: uncultured bacterium
Lineage: Bacteria
Description: partial 16S ribosomal RNA
Rfam family: Bacterial small subunit ribosomal RNA
Source: RNAcentral
AGUGAACGCUGGCGGUAGGCCUAACACAUGCAAGUCGAACGGCAGCACAGUAAGAGCUUGCUCUUACGGGUGGCGAGUGGCGGGCGGGUGAGGAAUACAUCGGAUUCUACUUUUUCGUGGGGGAUAACGGAGGGAAACUGACGCUAAUACCGCAUACGACCUACGGGUGAAAGCAGGGGAUCUUCGGACCUUGCGCGAUUGAAUGAGCCGAUGUCGGAUUAGCUAGUUGGCGGGGUAAAGGCACACCAAGGCGACGAUCCGUAGCUGGUCUGAGAGGAUGAUCAGCCACACUGGAACUGAGACACGGUCCAGACUCCUACGGGAGGCAGCAGUAGGGAAUCUUGGACAAUGGGCGCAAGCCUGACCCAGCCAUACCGCGUGGGUGAAGAAGGCCUUCGGGUUGUAAAGCCCUUUUGUUGGGAAAGAAAAGCAGCAGGUUAAUACCCCGCUGUUCUGACGGUACCCAAAGAAUAAGCACCGGCUAACUUCGUG